CCGUUCUUUGACAUUGCGACGUAAUUUCUCCUGGCAGGAUUUCUUUUCUUUUUCUUUCCCCUUGUCCAUCUCUUCUCCAGAAAAUUUAAACCGGCUACGCAGAAUCCUUCGGAAAAAAACUUUAAACAAAAGAUAUACAGGCUAAUGUAGAAAACAAGUUCGGCAACAUCAUCAUUCAUUAGAUAAAGGGCAGCACAACAAACCUGCCGAAUGGAACCGCAGCACUCAGUGCCAAACAAAUAUAUUUCGCAGCUCUAUACAAGGUCUCAAAAAACGUAUCCUGAUUUUAAAAAAUAUAUAUAAACAUUUUUUACUCCGUUAUCUGAUUGGGAAAGUGUUUUUUGUGCUGUAACUCCUUUUCAAAGUUUUAAGGGUUUGGGGUAUAAUUGGAAUUUACUAAAAAAAGUCGGGCGACGAUUUCAGAUUUUUGUUAUGUAUAUGUAUAUAUAUUUUUGCGAAGCAUAAAUUUACAUUGCAACAGAGUUCGUCAUUUUUGUUGUGUAAAAUAAUGCCAAAUUAUUAUGUUUUCUCUAGAAAUAGAAGCUGGAAAAGAUUAGGUUUUAUCCAUUUGAGAAUGUUAAUCCAGAAUAAAUAGGUUGCAUUACAUGAGAAAAAUAUAUGGUCUGUAAUUUCAUACCAUUUUCACAAUAUGAGCACAUUAUCCUCAAUAUUAAAACGCAUCUAAAGAAAUGCUUUAGAAGGAUAGACGUCAUUCAUAAUUUUAAAGCGUGUUUCUUUUGAUUUGGGGAUAUAGUGAAUUUUAGGUACAUUGUUCUAAGUCUAUUGAUUGAAUGUUAAUCAAAAUUGUGUAAUAUGUCAUUUCUGUUUUGUCUUCCAGUGAAUAACUUUACCGUGAGGCAGUAUCUUAUAAAGUAACUAUUGUACGAUGUCCAUAACCAGCCUUAUGUUAUUGUGGAUUGAUCUUUAUUUUAAGCUGGAUUGUGUUUCUGCAAUAAAAUUUGAAAUCCCUGUUUGAAGAUGAGUGGUGAAAAUGUAUUUGUUUGAGGUUACUUUGGGCAUAUAUUUUGCUGUGUCCUUUAAAAAUAUGUGACAGUACUCUUUAGAACAUUUAGAGCUGUAAAGAUGGUUAUAAAAUUAAUUUUUCUUCUAUAAUCCCAUAGCAUUUUCCCCGUCUUCUUUUUCAAGCCCUCAUACACAUGCUGAGUUUUCCCCUCUCCUAUAUCCAUUUGACUCUAGACCUAAUAAAUGCCCCUUAUGUUUUUUGAAUGUACAUUUCAUCUAGUUUAGACUGAAGGUUCAGUAUUUUCCAACAUCUGCAGUAGGUUUACUGUAGGUUUAUUGCAGUAUCCAUGAUCACUUUUAUUUAUUUAUUUAUGUAUUUAUUUAUUUAACUGAGUGAAAAAGAUAUUGGCAUAUUUUAUAUUUUAGAAACUCCCAUUUCUUGACCUGUGUUGUUAGUUCUUUAGAAUUCAUGAUGUCUGUUAUUAUUUUUGGCCGUAAUCAUUGUUUUUAAGCAGACUGGAAUUCAAUGCCCAGUAUUUGUAUGAAUUCUUUUGUUUUUCGGUUUAAUGUACUUACUUCUGGCCUCUACUCCUGCCGCACAGCAGCAUAACGUGCGUACUCUCAACAUCCUAGUUCUUUGUACUUGCAUAUACCCUUAAAAUUAUAUAAAAUAAUGACUUACAAACAUUUCUAGUUAAGAAUGGCCGUUCGGAACGUAUUUCAGUCGUAAGUAGAGGAGCAUCUGUACUAUUGUAUUUUUUUCUUAAUCGAAACUAAUGUCAUAACGAAACUAGUAAUAUUAUUGUUUCCCCAAUGCAGCCAUUUAAACUGUUGAUAAUUUUUAUGCGUUAAUUUUGGCUACACUAUUGCUUUGACCUGAUUUACUUGUUUUUCAGUAACUAGUAUAUUUUGUAUAAAGAACUAUUAACACUGCAGUGGCACUGUUUCUCUAUUUAGAAAGGGUGGCAAGUGCAUAUAUUGAAAUUUCAAUUCCGUAAUUUUAUGUGGUUUCUUGUAUGACGACUCUUGGUUAUUUGCACCAUGUGCCUUUUCCUUGAAAUGCAGUUUUUCUUAUAUCUGUAAUUACUGAUUCCCUGGAUUACCAAGCUACCUAAGAGUGGCAAAUUAGGACACAUCCAUAAUAAUUAAAAUUUUAAUUAUUAUGUAGUGGAGUAAAUCAAAACUGAGAAACUAAUAUAAACCACACAUAUGUUGGCGGCAGCAUUUUCUAGCAAUACUUGCAUGUUUAAGACUGUUUUGUGCCUCCGUGCUGCUGCUGCCCCAUAACUCCAUGGUCAUGGGCUUGAUUCCCACCCCCGGCUCUAAUUUUUUGAAGUUUGCAUUUCUCCCUGUGUUCUCACAAGUGUUCAUACCUUGUACACCAAAAGUACUUGAUUAGAUACACUGGUGUCCCUCGAUUACCCAUGUUCCCUAAGAGUCAUCCUGUUUGGGGUCCCCCCUGCCUUGUGCCCUGUGUUUCCUGGGAUAGUCCCACCCCCUCCCCUCAAUGGGCAUUUCAGUUUGAUACAACAGCUGUUGAUAGCUUGGCAUAAGACUCGUAUGGGCCCAUGUGGAAACUCUCUGAUAGAGAGCUCAAUGUAACAAACCCAGUAGCCUCCCUAUUGGGGCUGUUGGUGAUGUGCUCUGGGUCUCAAGUCUCAAGUUACCACAGUUCUGUAAAACACAAAAAUGGCUCUUCCCUGAGAGUGGCAUGGCGACUUAGUUGACCCCAAGUUGGGAAAUCCCACCUCUCUCCGUGUAUGUGUAUGGAUUUGUGCAGUAUGUUCUCCCAAUGUUAUGCGGAUUUCCUUUAAGUACUACAGUUUCCUCCUACAGUCUAAAUGCAUGCAGUUAGGUGAACUGCUAUUUCUAAAUUGCCCAUAUAGUGUGGCCUGCAAUGGACACUCCUGCCUUCCCCUUGCAUAGGCUCCAGGCCUAGGUUAGGAUGUUGGAGGAUGGUAGGAUGCAUGAGUUCUCCCCUUUUUAAUUAAAGUUGCAUGCUUGUCUUUUAAUUUUAGAUUUAAAUUGCACAAUAGCGUUCCAGAGUAAAACAUAGACACAGAAUUUGGAACUAUUUUAGGAGCAUAACUACGUGCAAUUUUGUUAUGACGUCGUGCAUUUGAAUUCCUGCUUUUCAUACUGGCUGUGACUUAAGGUUCUGCAAGACUGAAUGUAAAUCAAGAUGGGAGCAAAUGUGCUGAAGCUCACAGUCACUGGCAGCUCCUGUCAUUCAAUCCAUGUCACAUGUUUGUUUAUGGGUGCAUUCAGUCAAAAGGUCAAACUUAAUAAGGCACCCAACCUGGUUCUGUGGGCUUUUCUUUAUCACUAAACCAUACUCCACAGGCCUGUUUUUGCCACACAGUCAAUCUUUUAUGAUUUGUCUAUGUCAAUCUGAAGAAAAUUCACUUUAUUGACCUCAGUGGGUGUUGGUGCCCCCAUCUUUCUACAAAAAAAUCAUGGAUGUAUUUAUUGUUACUGACUCAACAUAGACCUUUACUGAGGUAUACUUCUGUUAUUGAGAAGUAUUGUUUAACAGAAGAUAUUAAAAUACAUAUAUAAUGUUAAUUUAAUGUAAGCAGUUCACAGAAAGACUUUCAAGCAAGUCUGUAAGCCGUUUGUUACACUUUGGAGCUUAUUUCUGUGUCAGGAUUACCUGACUGAAAAAUUGCUUUGGUAAUAGAACAGAACGAGGACCUGGAUGUUACAUGGGAGGCCUGUGACCUCAGUGCUGUUAACCUUUACUUUAGUGAAUGAGUCAGCAGAGGCUAUUGACCUUUACAUAAAUUAACUUUUGUUUCUCAGAUUAGAACAAAUGCAGUGUAUGCUGUUCUGUGCGUAUAUGUAAUGUCUAUGGGAUUACAGCAAUAUCCAUACAUUUCCAGCCGCUAUGUGCAAGAAGCCGCAGAAUGCAUUUACUUGUUUUACAAAGUGUUUCAUAGCAUGUAUCAGUCUGUCAGUUUCCGUUCCGUUCUCUGUAAUCCCCUGCUCCAGCAGAGAAUCAUGGUGAGUGCAAAGACGAGGAAAGUCUGGGGACGUUCUGCCAAUAAGUUAUCAGGGGGUUAAGCCAGCAGUUAUAUUUAAUAAUUAGUUUUAGACUGUUUUUAUUUGACCACUUCCCAUUGCCUUCUAUUGACGGUACCAUCACCUUUUGUUAGUAUCCCCAUCUGCGUGAUCAGCCUCUUUUCCGCUAGACUCUUUUGACCGCAGACUAAAGUAUCGUUUGACCUAUUACUAGGUGUCAGUUAUUAUACUUCUUAGAGCACAUUUGCACAUCUGCCACUCGAUGUGUCCGCAGCUCCUGGUGUCAUUAUGCCUCAGCUCUAAGUCACCAGACUCUCCCAGGAGGGCACUUUGCACAGGGUGUCAUUUCUACACCAUUUAUUGAAUUAGUUCCAGCAUAAGGUGAUUAAUGAUUUGUGACCAGUUUCAGCCCUAAUUCGGUGGAGGAGCUAAUUGAGAAAAGGCUGAUACACAUUUUUGGAAAACAUUUCCUUCAUGCACAUUUCUGCACACUGAUGUUGUACUUACUGGGCUGUUAUUGCACCUACUGUUUGUUGCAACUUGUCAUGUUAUACUUACUGUUUUUGUUGGCACAAUGCUGCACUGCACUACUGUUGUUCUGAACUGUCGUGCAUUAAAUUAUUCUUGCAUCGUU
Molecule: long non-coding RNA, 4618 nt
Organism: Brienomyrus brachyistius
Lineage: Eukaryota; Metazoa; Chordata; Actinopteri; Osteoglossiformes; Mormyridae
Exons: 2
Source: RefSeq, a predicted model, not a curated record